AGAGCGAAAGCAUUUGCCAAGUAUGUCUUAAUUGAUCAAGAACGAAAGUUAGAGGUUCGAAGGCGAUCAGAUACCGCCCUAGUUCUAACCAUAAACGAUGCCAGCCAGCGAUCCGCCGACGUUCCUCCGAUGACUCGGCGGGGAGCUUUCCCCGGGAAACCAAAGCUUUUGGGUUCCGGGGGAAGUAUGGUUGCAAAGCUGAAACUUAAAGGAAUUGACGGAAGGGCACCACCAGGAGUGGAGCCUGCGGCUUAAUUUGACUCAACACGGGAAACCUCACCAGGCCCGGAC
RNAcentral lists this ribosomal RNA (291 nucleotides) under Vilga sanctipauli. RNAcentral describes it as "partial small subunit ribosomal RNA". It matches the Rfam family "Eukaryotic small subunit ribosomal RNA", at positions 942 to 1229 of the family's 1831-position model. Lineage: Eukaryota; Metazoa; Arthropoda; Insecta; Hemiptera; Coreidae. The record is from RNAcentral.